UGAUCAAGUUUGCUGCUGAAAUCAAGCACUUCUGCACAUAUACAUCAGAAUUCUGUGGAAAAACUAAAGGGAAGAGGAAAUAGAUUUGCUGGAGCACAAAGAUGAAUUGAGAAUACACUAAAAAUAAACUCCCUCAUUGAUUAACAUCUACUACCUUUAAAUAUGCUUUACAGAGCUAUAAAUAAAGAAGAACAUGGCAUACAGGAUGAAAACAGAACUAAGAACAUGGGU
This 231-nucleotide long non-coding RNA is filed under the name Elaeis guineensis (African oil palm). RNAcentral describes it as "long non-coding RNA (EGUI_LNC031505)". The record is from RNAcentral. Lineage: Eukaryota; Viridiplantae; Streptophyta; Magnoliopsida; Arecales; Arecaceae.